RNAcentral lists this ribosomal RNA (402 nucleotides) under Bacteroidota bacterium. RNAcentral describes it as "Bacteroidetes bacterium partial 16S ribosomal RNA". It matches the Rfam family "Bacterial small subunit ribosomal RNA", at positions 355 to 776 of the family's 1533-position model. The record is from RNAcentral. Lineage: Bacteria; Pseudomonadati; Bacteroidota.
UAGGGAAUCUUCCGCAAUGGACGCAAGUCUGACGGAGCAACGCCGCGUGAUUUAGAAGGCCUUCGGGUUGUAAAAAUCUUUUCUAUGGGAAGAAAAUGACAGUACCAUAGGAAUAAGGACCGGCUAAUUACGUGCCAGCAGCCGCGGUAAUACGUAAGGUCCGAGCGUUGUCCGGAAUCAUUGGGCGUAAAGGGUACGUAGGCGGGUAAGCAAGUUAGAAGUGAAAUCCUGUAGCUCAACUACAGUAAGCUUUUAAAACUGCUCAUCUUGAGAUAUGGAAGGGAAAGUGGAAUUCCUAGUGUAGCGGUGAAAUGCGCAGAUAUUAGGAGGAAUACCGGUGGCGAAGGCGACUUUCUGGCCAUAAUCUGACGCUGAGGUACGAAAGCGUGGGUAGCAAACAGG